This 497-nucleotide ribosomal RNA is filed under the name uncultured bacterium. Its description in RNAcentral is "partial 16S ribosomal RNA". It matches the Rfam family "Bacterial small subunit ribosomal RNA", at positions 28 to 507 of the family's 1533-position model. The record is from RNAcentral.
GAUGAACGCUGGCGGCGUGCCUAAUACAUGCAAGUCGAGCGAACGGACGAGAAGCUUGCUCCUCUGAUGUUAGCGGCGGACGGGUGAGUAACACGUGGAUAACCUACCUAUAAGACUGGGAUAACUUCGGGAAACCGGAGCUAAUACCGGAUAAUAUUUUGAACCGCAUGUUUCAAAAGUGAAAGACGGUCUUGCUGUCACUUAUAGAUGUACCCGCGCUGCUUUAGCUAGUUGGUAAGUUAACGGCUUACCAAGGCAACGAUGAAUAGCCGACCUGAGAGGGUGAUCGGCCACACUGGAACUGAGACACGGUCCAGACUCCUACGGGAGGCAGCAGUAGGGAAUCUUCCGCAAUGGGCGAAAGCCUGACGGAGCAACGCCGCGUGAGUGAUGAAGGUCUUCGAAUCGUAAAACUCUGUUAUUAGGGAAGAACAUAUGUGUAAGUAACUGUGCACAUCUUGACGGUACCUAAUCAGAAAGCCACGGCUAACUACGUG